This 523-nucleotide ribosomal RNA is filed under the name Bipolaris sorokiniana. RNAcentral describes it as "eukaryotic LSU rRNA". The stretch from base 153 to 306 matches the Rfam family "5.8S ribosomal RNA". Lineage: Eukaryota; Fungi; Ascomycota; Dothideomycetes; Pleosporales; Pleosporaceae. The record is from RNAcentral.
CUGGCUUCGCGGCCGGCUGAAAUAUUUUUUUCACCCAUGUCUUUUGCGCACUUGUUGUUUCCUGGGCGGGUUCGCCCGCCACCAGGACCAAACCAUAAACCUUUUUUUUAUGCAGUUGCAAUCAGCGUCAGUAAAAACAAUGUAAUUAUUACAACUUUCAACAACGGAUCUCUUGGUUCUGGCAUCGAUGAAGAACGCAGCGAAAUGCGAUACGUAGUGUGAAUUGCAGAAUUCAGUGAAUCAUCGAAUCUUUGAACGCACAUUGCGCCCUUUGGUAUUCCAAAGGGCAUGCCUGUUCGAGCGUCAUUUGUACCUUCAAGCUUUGCUUGGUGUUGGGCGUUUUUUGUCUCCCUCUUUCUGGGAGACUCGCCUUAAAACGAUUGGCAGCCGGCCUACUGGUUUCGGAGCGCAGCACAUAUUUUGCGCUUUGUAUCAGGAGAAAAGGACGGUAAUCCAUCAAGACUCUACAUUUUUAACUUUUGACCUCGGAUCAGGUAGGGAUACCCGCUGAACUUAAGCAUAU